Cannabis sativa is the source of this 2746-nucleotide long non-coding RNA. RefSeq lists it as uncharacterized. The record is from RefSeq and is a predicted model, not a curated record. The transcript is spliced from 2 exons. NCBI's taxonomy places the organism in Eukaryota, Viridiplantae, Streptophyta, Magnoliopsida, Rosales, Cannabaceae.
UAGUGAUAUGUUCACAUCACUUAACUACUAUAAAAUGGAUUACUCCCAACAGUUAAUUAGAGGAUUAAUUAUGAAAACUGUUGAAAUAAUUAAGUAGAUGAUUGAUAGAAAGAAAAUGUUAGGAGACCUAUUUCUAACGUUGAAAAAAUGUGGACAAAACAAUACAGUUUUUCUUUAAAACAGUGGGACUCAGCAAUGUAAAACUGUGGAGAAUACUAUAUCCAUGUGGGAUUAACACACGCAAAAAGUAUAUCCAAGAAUUAUACACUGUUGGAAAACAGUGAUUUUAUACAAUAUCUCGCCAAACCUUCCUUCCACUACAUUUCAUCUCAUCCCGAUCAAUCUAAAACUUCAGAGAGAAAUCCUCAAUCCCAUCUCCAUCGAACCUCUCUCUCUAGCGGUUAACCACCGCUCGGCGCCGGCACCUUCUGUGGCUAUCAUUUCGAGUACAGCUGGGAGCUUAAAUUGUUGGACUGUCGGACUGGUCUCACCUCGACCACACUCUGGAAGAUGGAAAGGAAGACAAACCUCUACAUGGAGAUUGAGGAGGUGUCUGUUCAUGCUGAGCUGCGGCGUAUAUUGUGUUUCUACCAUGCCAUUGCUAGGCUCCCAUCUGAUUUCAAAUCAUAAUAACAUAUAUACACACAUACACCAUCAGUACACAAAAUCAGCUGCAUAUUUAUUCAAGGUAUCUAUUGAAGAGAUUGAGUAAGAGAGAGUUAAUAUUUAUAGAUGGAGAAAAGAUUUUUCUAAAAAUUAGAGAUUUCUUUGGGUCAAAAUCUCUCUAAUUUGCUUAGACUAACUCUUCUUUACAAAUAUGGUUGUGUUUAUAUAGAUACAGAUAUGAUUUUUGUGAAGAUUUAUUCUAAAUUGAAAAACUUUAUUCGAGCUCAAACUAAUGAUUUGGAAACGGGUAAAUACAGUAGAUUGAAUAAUGUCGUUUUGGGUUUUGAUAAAGGUCAUCGUUUAGUGUUUGAGUUUAUUAAGGAAUUUGCUUCAACAUUUGAUGGAAGAAAAUGGGGUCAUAAGGUCUUUAUUUGGUUUCAGAGUUGUUUCAAGAACAUUAAAUAGUAUUCAUAGUAGUAGUUUUUGCUCUUAGUUUUCUGCAUUGAAUUAUUAAUUCCAUAAUUGUAAGAUAGAUUGGUCUUAGUUUUUUUCUUAUAUAAUUUUGAAGAUAACUUUAUUAAUUAAUUGUGCUUUACUUUGGAGAGAUGUACUUUGACAGAGGAAACUUCUAUGACUCUACUUCCUUUGGUGAGUAUGCUUUUUGCCUUUUGCUAUCAUCUCUUGAUAGUUUUUACAUCUGCAAUGCUGCAAGUUUUAACUAUAGUUUCUCUAUAAAAUCUUAUUUAUCAUGAUUUUGAAUUUGUUGUAUUAUGAGUAAUUUGCGGCAUAAAUAUCUAAGUUUAAUUUUCGGUUGCAUAUAAAUACUUAAGUUUAAUUUUUGACAACAAGUUAUAUUUCUAGAACUGUGUAGGUAUUUAAUUGUUAAGUGUUAAGUAAAUUACCAUGUGAUAAUUCUUGAUUGGUCCAGGUUAAGAAUUUCUACUUUUUUUUUUAAAAAAAAAAAGAAAAAAUCAAUUUAAAUAUAUCAAUAAAAAAAAUGACACGUGAAUAGCAAUAGAGUUACAGAAAUAUAACUUAAGUGUUAUUACCGCUAAAAGUUAAACUUACGUAUUUAUUUGCAACCGGAAGUGAAACUUAGGUAUUUAUGCUGCAAAUUACUCUUGUAUUAUUUAUCAUCAUAGCAAUAGUUGAUAAUAUCUUAAAUGGGGUGAAUGUAAGGCUAAGGUGAAUUGGUUGCACCUUUGUACUAUUGAUUUAUUUUGAUUUGUUGGCUCCAUGGAGUAUUUAAAUAAACACCUUUUUAAUUGACUACAAUGUGAUUUGUGACGUUGAGAUGUACUUAUUCUUGCAUUGUAAUUGCUUUGAAGAAGAUCUGAAUUGGAGCAAGAAGAUGUGGAAGUGCCAAGCACAACUAUUAGAGAAAUUUCUCUUUUGAAAGAAAUGCAUCGUGGAAACAUUGUGUGGUAUGCUAAUAACUUGAAAGUUAGGUUGUUAACAACUUGUUUUAGUUUUCUUAUUUAUUUGUUCUUUGUGUACUUCUGUAUUGCUCCAGAACAAAGAAAGUUUAUUAUAUAUUCUAAUUGUAGAUUAUUCAAUAUAAAUUUAUGGAGAGAAGACGGAUUUUUUAAGGACCUUGAUUUGUAUACUGGGCAUGAUUCAUUGUGUAUUUUUUCUUUGGCAAUGACUAUUGAUUAUAACUAGUGAAUUAACAUCUGAGAAGGAAAACUUAAAUAUUUUAUUGUAGUUUUAGGGAAAUUGAUGUUAAAGAUUCAAAUUUUAAAUAAUAAACAAGUAGUCCUGUAAUUUUAUUAUUAGUCUUCCUAUGAUGUCAUUUCAGUCUCGAGCAUGUGGUGAAAAUCAUAGUUAAAUUAUGUUGAGAACUUGAAGCACUGGUGAGUACAAAUGCACAACUUUUGUUUUCCCAUUUUGCUUAUGUUAUCAGUUAUUUGAGCUAGGAAAUUUUCAAGCACAAGUGAAGCACAAGUUAUCAUGUACCACAAAGCACAAGCUGAAUUUAAAGAGAAGGAUAUGCAAGAAUAAGAGUUGCAUGGCGCGCUCGGUAAGGUUACCUUUUAAAAUUUAUCUUUUCAAUUGCAAGUUAUGUAUAUAUAUAUAUUUUUUAUACUUCAUUGUCUUCAGAAAUAAAAAUGCUUGAAUAUAGUUGGAGUUUACAAAACUA